CAGAGUUGAAUCUCUAAAGAAACAAGUAUUUCACUGUGAACUCCAUGAGAGGUCAAAGGUCAUUCCAGAGGUCACAGGUCAUCAAAACUUAUUAAAAUGCUUUGAGAAAUACAUGAUCAUUUAGAAACUCACAGUUCAGAUGUGUGAUGAUCAGUACAGAGUCUUUCUGAUUAUAUUAUUUAUUCAGAUUUAAUAGUUUUCAUGCAUCAAGAGACAUUUAGAGAUGAUGAGGCUGUUUCUGUGAAAGUCACUUCAGUCCAAUAAUCAUUAUUUAAUGUUGAGAAGAGCUGCUGUUGAGUCUCAUAUCAGUGUGUGUGAGUGUCGUUCGUCUCUUUCUCUGCUGGAGUUUGUGUUCAUUUGAGUGUGACGGAGGUUUUUGUACGACGCUUUCACUAGAAUGAAGCACUGUGGAGGACUUUCGGUGGAGGAACUGAACUGGUGAUCAGAACUGGUCCCGCAGUGAAGCCCUCCGUGUCUCUGCUGCCGCCCUCUUCUCUGCAGAUCUCUGGAGACUCAGCCGCACUGCUCUGCCUGCUCAGCUCUUACUCUCCACAGGGGGCGACGGUGAGCUGGACGCUGGACGGGUCAGAGGUCACCGAGGGGGUUCAGACCAGCGCAGAGAGCGAGCGGGACGGACGCUACAGCCGCAGCAGCGUCCUGAGCCUCAGCAAAGCACGCUGGGAAGGCGCGGAUCGCUUCGUCUGCAGAGUAAGACAUGACGGAGCUGAUCACGAGGCCUCGUUCCUCAAGAGCUCCCAGUGCUGAUGUUUCUCCGGUCCAGACGAGCCGUAUCUGAGCGUCCGGCAGGAUUCACAGCAGUCACGUGAUUUACAGCUCAAUACUGAAGCAGUCUUUCAAUGUGCUGCCAUUGCUGUUCAUUCAAUAAAGCUUCUGAACGCGUUA
Molecule: long non-coding RNA, 903 nt
Organism: Megalobrama amblycephala (Wuchang bream)
Lineage: Eukaryota; Metazoa; Chordata; Actinopteri; Cypriniformes; Xenocyprididae
Exons: 2
Source: RefSeq, a predicted model, not a curated record